RNAcentral lists this ribosomal RNA (164 nucleotides) under uncultured bacterium. RNAcentral's name for it is "partial 16S ribosomal RNA". It matches the Rfam family "Bacterial small subunit ribosomal RNA", at positions 1335 to 1500 of the family's 1533-position model. The record is from RNAcentral.
CUAGUAAUCGCGGAUCAGCAUGCCGCGGUGAAUACGUUCUCGGGCCUUGUACACACCGCCCGUCACACCAUGGGAGUCGGUAACACCCGAAGUCUGUAGCCUGACGCAAGAGGGCGCAGCCGAAGGUGGGAUUGAUGACUGGGGUGAAGUCGUAACAAGGUACC